Molecule: long non-coding RNA, 2146 nt
Organism: Rhincodon typus (whale shark)
Lineage: Eukaryota; Metazoa; Chordata; Chondrichthyes; Orectolobiformes; Rhincodontidae
Exons: 3
Source: RefSeq, a predicted model, not a curated record
CCAUACCCCACCAGUCCGAGUUAUCUUGGUCAUGAGAUGCAAAAGGUUGCAUUCCCAGCAUCAAGAAAGCUCCAUGCCCAGAUAACAAGGAAGAAGAGGAGAGGUGGGAGUCACCUUACCGACCCCUUUACCAAUUUCUCCCCCCGCCCCCAAGACAUGUGCUGGGUACAGAACAAGAGGUCACAUCCUCAUGAAAUGUAUCAGGUCAUUUUGGACUGAGACGAGAAGAGAUUUCUUCACUCAGAGGAUAAUGAACCUGUGGAAUUCUCUACCACAGAAAGCCGUGGAGGCGAAGUCACUCGAUAUAUUUAAGAACAAAACAGCACAGAACGGCUGGGGAUGUUUUGAUUUACAGAUCAAAUGUCUACACCGUAUGAAGUGCAUUACACUCAAGACCAUUCCCGGAGACGGUGACAAGUGUGCGCAGGGAUAGGACAGCCUGGCGGUCCAUUUCACACCUCAGCUCGGUCCACUCGUGUGCUACAGCCUAGAAGAAGUGAACUCCAGAUGAGCUGGAUGGAGCAGAUUUGCAGGAGCACAAUGAGUAAUGGCGUGUCAGCAGGUAGAGGGAGCGCUUUCACAGUCAUGGUUGAUGGUCGCCUGGGGCAGUGAGUGCUGCAUAGCCUCCCGUGCACUCGUCUGCACCACAGAGGAAGAAUGACGCCGUGCCUACAAAAGGAACAUCCCGGCCUGUUGGUAGCGGAGAGGACAAUGAUCGCCAACAGCGAGCUAGUCCAGUCCCAAUAUCUGGCGCUGGAAUGUAAUUUACAAAGUUAAAUAGCACAAUCGGCGAUAAAAAAAAAACUGGAUCUUUCAGCAGAAGCUGUUAGAUAAAUAACAGAUUUAAGCAUUAGACUGUCUAAUGAUCAAGAGACUAGAUACAGCGAAAUCUUCACAAAUGUAACUGCUAUCACAAACCAAUGCCUUCGGACAAAUCUAAUAAAAGCAGAAAAUGUAGCUUUUCUGAUCGUCGGGAUAACCGUCCCAUUGUUCUCCGCUACACAUCGCUCAGGUCGAUAAGAAAGGAACUUCUACCUUGCACAGCACGCUGCACUUCGCAACACGCCUCUUCAAAAGCAUUCUAUUCAUAAAAAAAGUCAUCCAUUGAAAGAAGUAGCCUGCAUUGCAGAGAGCUCAAAGUGCACGGUUUAAUAAACUACAGACUGGGUUAAUGAAACCCAGUGCUGUCCGCAAAAAUGCCCAGCGAAUCUGACUGCACAAGACUCGAAACCACCACAUUCACACAUCUAUUUUUUAAUAGAUUCCAACCCCCACCCUCUCUACGAAACAGCGAGUCAUUUUUUCAAAACUCAUAUAUAAUUGCAAAUUCCAUGUUUGAAGCAACUGAAUUAUUUUUCCUGUAAUUAAACAGUGUAUACUUUCUCCUCACUGGGAGGGAGUGCAUAUUUACCGAAUAUAAAAUGUGCGAAAACAGUAAAUAAGUUGCUAAUAACAGCAACAGAUGAUACUUCAGGUCGCCCUCAAAUGAAAAAGUAAAAUUACUCAAGUGACAGGAGUAAUCAAAGAUUUGGUUCUUUUUCUCCAAAAGCUCAGUAUCGGAGGGAAGUCUUGAAAGAUCCGGCGGAAAAGCUGUCGAAAAUAGAUUUGUUGGCAUGUUCACCUUCUUAUCAUCACUAAAUAGUUUUUUUUUUAAAGAGAAGCAACGUGCCAUGGCUCCGAAAAAAAGGCAGCUAAUAAUGCCAGUAAAAUUCAUGAAAUAUUAAUGAAAAAUGUUUGUAAAAAAAGCCUAUGGUAAGUUACAAGAAUCUAUUCGAUCAAUUGACAGAUUGGAUUUAAUCAACUAUUGAUUCUGUUUUUCACAAAUAGUUUUUAAAACGCAGUAACAUUUCAACCGAGUCGAAAUAGAUCAAAGAGUGUUGCCGAAUAGCAUUGCUGCUGAGGGCGAAUGUCUCCUGAACAAAUGCAUAAUACAACGCCGACAACUUCCUGAUUGAUCCACGGACAUUAGCUGGCAAACAGCUAGCCCGGCGCAUGCCAGCUUACAGUACUUGGGGUUCAGGCGAAGUCUUACAAUGCUUCCAGCUCAGACAUUUAGUAAAUUUACUGCAGCGAUGGGGGAGGGUGAGCUGUCUUCAACCCUCCCCAGGCCCCCACCCCCAAUAAAGCUGCAGACCAAACUGGUUAA